This 72-nucleotide transfer RNA is filed under the name Daphnia pulex (common water flea). It matches the Rfam family "tRNA". From Rfam's summary of the family: Transfer RNA (tRNA) molecules are approximately 80 nucleotides in length. Their secondary structure includes four short double-helical elements and three loops (D, anti-codon, and T loops). The record is from Rfam by way of RNAcentral. Lineage: Eukaryota; Metazoa; Arthropoda; Branchiopoda; Diplostraca; Daphniidae.
GGCUCAUUGGUCUAGUAGUAUGAUACUUUCUUCGGGUGUAAGUGAUCCCGGGUUCAAUUCCCGGAUGGGCCC